This 301-nucleotide ribosomal RNA is filed under the name uncultured bacterium. Its description in RNAcentral is "partial 16S ribosomal RNA". It matches the Rfam family "Bacterial small subunit ribosomal RNA", at positions 509 to 807 of the family's 1533-position model. The record is from RNAcentral.
CAGUCGCCGCGGUAAUACGAAGGGGGCUAGCGUUGUUCGGAUUUACUGGGCGUAAAGGGUGCGUAGGCGGACUGAUAAGUCAGGGGUGAAAUCCCAAGGCUCAACCUUGGAACUGCCUUUGAAACUGUUAGUCUUGAGUUCGAGAGAGGUGAGUGGAACUGCGAGUGUAGAGGUGAAAUUCGUAGAUAUUCGCAAGAACACCAGUGGCGAAGGCGGCUCACUGGCUCGAAACUGACGCUGAGGCACGAAAGCGUGGGGAGCAAACAGGAUUAGAUACCCCCGUAGUCCCUGUCUCUUAUAC